CCUACGGGAGGCAGCAGUGGGGAAUCUUGCGCAAUGGGCGAAAGCCUGACGCAGCAACGCCGCGUGCGGGAUGAAGGCCUUCGGGUUGUAAACCGCUUUCAGCAGGGACGCGGUACCUGCAGAAGAAGCCCCGGCUAACUACGUGCCAGCAGCCGCGGUAAUACGUAGGGGGCGAGCGUUGUCCGGAAUCAUUGGGCGUAAAGAGCUCGUAGGCGGUUCAGUAAGUCAGGUGUGAAAGCUCCGAGCUCAACUCGGAGAGGCCACCUGAUACUGCUGGACUAGAAUCCAGUAGGGGAGUGUGGAACUCCUGGUGUAGCGGUGAAAUGCGCAGAUAUCAGGAAGAACACCAGCGGCGAAGGCGGCACUCUGGGCUGGAUUGACGCUGAGGAGCGAAAGUGUGGGUAGCAAACAGGAUUAGAUACCCUUGUAGUC
This 432-nucleotide ribosomal RNA is filed under the name uncultured bacterium. RNAcentral's name for it is "partial 16S ribosomal RNA". It matches the Rfam family "Bacterial small subunit ribosomal RNA", at positions 338 to 795 of the family's 1533-position model. The record is from RNAcentral.